Molecule: long non-coding RNA, 968 nt
Organism: Clupea harengus (Atlantic herring)
Lineage: Eukaryota; Metazoa; Chordata; Actinopteri; Clupeiformes; Clupeidae
Exons: 2
Source: RefSeq, a predicted model, not a curated record
AUUCACGCAGCAAACGCAGCAUGUUUGGUUUGGCUCUGUCGGCGGUGAAUAUUAAGCACAAUACGGAUCUGCUUGUUCGUUGGAAUAUAACGCCAGUAGGAUUGUGAAGUGUUGCCUCUAACAGACGAACAGUUUUCACACCUACAACGCAUUUGGAACACUGGCGUCUUAACAUCGCAUGCGGGAUUUUAUGAGGUAUUUGGAAUACAUUUUAAAAGAACCAGUCUUUAUAUUAAAUGGCUCAAAGUUUACUGUAUAUAAUGAAUUGUUUUUAAUGAAUUGUGAAUUGAAUGUUUACUGUGUACAAUGAAUUGUGAAAUGGCUACAAUGAAUUGUGAUUUGAAUAUUUACUGUGUAUAAUGAUUAUAGCUCUUUGUCCUUUGGUUCUAGGAACACUGUAUAUCACUGUUUUUCCCAUAGCUAAUUUAUGAUGAGACAAGCACUUGAAUUGAGCUACUAGCCUGCAUAGUGUUGCUGUAAAACCACCUUCCGUUUACUUGUUUGUUGUCUUGGCGAGUUUUAUUUUCUUUCUGUUUUAUUCCUUUGGGUCAGUCGUAGCUGGGGCUAUCAUAGAGGGGAGUCCUUAUCCGCUUGCAACUUGUGUGUGCUGUGCAACGCCCGCUACUAGGGGCCGUAGUGGGAAGUGUGUGAUUUGUGGUGUAGUGGAUAGCCAUUGUGACUUGCCGUUGGUGUGGUGUGUAGUGGUCUAGUAUCAAGAUUGGCUACUUGAUACAAACCCUUUAGUUAGUCUUACCUCUAGGGUGGGCUUUAGCCGCGACUGACCUACUCUUACCCUCGCCCUUAAAUGUCUGCCCUGAACAGGGCUGUACUUCUUUCCUUUUAUGAUUUGGAUUAUCAGUGAAUACCAUACCGUCAUUAUCAAUUAUAGGCAUUUGUCUAGUCUCAUUUACACUGUCUGCCUUGUGUACAUAAACCAUCACUUACUUAUUAAAGAUAUAUUUAUUGUG